Molecule: unclassified non-coding RNA, 515 nt
Filed under: Hevea brasiliensis (rubber tree)
Lineage: Eukaryota; Viridiplantae; Streptophyta; Magnoliopsida; Malpighiales; Euphorbiaceae
Source: RNAcentral
AAUUAUUUAUUUUGACAGUAUAAAACGCUUUAUUUCUUAUUUGCCAACCAAUUUGCCCAGGCUAAAUGCUUUACACAGAUAGUAAAACGCACACUCCUCAAAGUAUAUAAACUAUUACAGAUUCAUGUCCUGGAACCUAAACAUGCAAAUCAUGCUCAGCCCAGCAACGUAUACAAAAGCUUUAGUUAUAUCAAAAUAAAUAAUUAGUCUACCAGUGUUUACUUAAGCCAAUAUUUGCAGUUUUCGAGGGAGGCAAUUCAUCCGUAGCAUCUGAUGGGAUCAUUGCAGCCUUUCUCAGGAGAUUGCCUAAAUCCAAAACGGCCUCCUUUUGCAAGGUAUUGCUGGUGAUAUUCUUCAGCUCGGUAGAAUUUCUUGGCAGGUGAAAUUUCGGUAACUAUCUUACGGUUCAAGAGCUUCUGCUGUUGUUCCAGAGUCUCCAGUGCUGCCUUUUCCUGUUCAGGCGUGUAAAAGUAUAUUCCAGAUCUGUAUUGUGUUCCCACAUCAUUUCCCUGGCG